ACAGUGAGUUACAGUUACAUGGAGAUUUCAGCGGGCGUGCCAUCCCGUGACCAAACAAUGGCAACAAUGGCAACAAUGGCAUCUGGAGGAGACCCGCUGCGAUGGCCGCCCCUGGGUAUCUGGAAGGAGUUGGAGCGAGACCAUCUGCAGCUGGAGGAGAUAGAGGAGAUAGUCUGGUCAGCCACCAAGAAGUACACGAGGGCAAGAGCUGCUCCUACAAACCCUCCGCAACGGAAGGUACUGGUGGCUUGGGGACCGAGCUCCCGACCCCUGC
Molecule: long non-coding RNA, 274 nt
Organism: Engraulis encrasicolus (European anchovy)
Lineage: Eukaryota; Metazoa; Chordata; Actinopteri; Clupeiformes; Engraulidae
Exons: 3
Source: RefSeq, a predicted model, not a curated record